RNAcentral lists this ribosomal RNA (483 nucleotides) under uncultured bacterium. RNAcentral describes it as "partial 16S ribosomal RNA". It matches the Rfam family "Bacterial small subunit ribosomal RNA", at positions 28 to 506 of the family's 1533-position model. The record is from RNAcentral.
AUUGAACGCUGGCGGCAUGCUUUACACAUGCAAGUCGAACGGCAGCGCGGGCUUCGGCCUGGCGGCGAGUGGCGAACGGGUGAGUAAUGCAUCGGAACGUGCCCAGUAGUGGGGGAUAGCCCGGCGAAAGCCGGAUUAAUACCGCAUACGACCUGAGGGUGAAAGCGGGGGACCGAAAGGCCUCGCGCUAUUGGAGCGGCCGAUGUCGGAUUAGCUAGUUGGUGGGGUAAAGGCUUACCAAGGCGACGAUCCGUAGCUGGUCUGAGAGGACGACCAGCCAAACUGGGACUGAGACCCGGCCCAGACCCCUACGGGAGGCAGGAGUGGGGAAUUUGGGAAAAGGGGGGCAACCCUGAUCCAGCCAUGCCGGGGGGGGGAAGAAGGCCUUCGGGUUGUAAACCGCUUUUGUUGGGGAAGAAAUCCUCUGGGGUAAUACCCCGGGGGGGUGACGGUACCGGAAGAAUAAGCACCGGCUAACUACGU